Molecule: transfer RNA, 67 nt
Filed under: Bolanusoides shaanxiensis
Lineage: Eukaryota; Metazoa; Arthropoda; Insecta; Hemiptera; Cicadellidae
Description: tRNA-Phe
Source: RNAcentral
GUAUUAAUAACUCAAUUAAAGAGUAUUAUAUUGAAGCUAUAAAGGUGAAAUUUAUUUUCUUAAUACA